UGGGGAAUUUUGGACAAUGGGCGAAAGCCUGAUCCAGCCAUGCCGCGUGAGUGAAGAAGGCCUUCGGGUUGUAAAGCUCUUUUAGUCGGAAAGAAAGAGUUGCAAUGAAUAAUUGUGAUUUAUGACGGUACCGACAGAAAAAGCACCGGCUAACUACGUGCCAGCAGCCGCGGGAAUACGUAGGGUGCGAGCGUUAAUCGGAAUUACUGGGCGUAAAGGGUGCGCAGGCGGUCUUGCAAGUCAGAUGUGAAAGCCCCGGGCUUAACCUGGGAAUUGCGUUUGAAACUACAAGGCUAGAGUGCAGCAGAGGGGAGUGGAAUUCCAUGUGUAGCAGUGAAAUGCGUAGAGAUGUGGAAGAACACCGAUGGCGAAGGCAGCUCCCUGGGUUGACACUGACGCUCAUGCACGAAAGCGUGGGGAGCAAACA
Molecule: ribosomal RNA, 427 nt
Filed under: uncultured beta proteobacterium
Lineage: Bacteria; Pseudomonadati; Pseudomonadota; Betaproteobacteria
Description: bacterial SSU rRNA
Rfam family: Bacterial small subunit ribosomal RNA
Source: RNAcentral